Molecule: ribosomal RNA, 296 nt
Filed under: uncultured bacterium
Lineage: Bacteria
Description: partial 16S ribosomal RNA
Rfam family: Bacterial small subunit ribosomal RNA
Source: RNAcentral
GUUUGCCUACGGAAGGCAGCAGUGGGGAAUAUUGCACAAUGGGGGAAACCCUGGUGCAGCGACGCCGCGUGAGUGAAGAAGUAUUUCGGUAUGUAAAGCUCUAUCAGCAGGGAAGAAAAUGACGGUACCUGACUAAGAAGCCCCGGCUAACUACGUGCCAGCAGCCGCGGUAAUACGUAGGGGGCAAGCGUUAUCCGGAUUUACUGGGUGUAAAGGGAGCGUAGACGGCAGGGCAAGUCUGGAGUGAAAGCCCGGGGCCCAACCCCGGGAAUGCUUUGGAAACUGCCAUGCUGGCG